AAUGAACGUUGGCGGCGUGGAUUAGGCAUGCAAGUCGAGCGAGAAACUCACUUUUGAUCUUUCGAGUGAAAAAGUGAGCGGACAGCGGCGAAAGGGAGAGUAACGCGUAGAUCACGUACCCAAGGGCUCGGAAUAGCGGGGGAAACCGCCGGUAAUGCCGAAUAAUGUCUCCGGACCAAAGAUUUAUCACCCUUGGAGCGGUUUGCGUACUAUUAGUUUGUUGGUGGGGUAAUGGCCUACCAAGGCAAAGAUGGUUAGCGGGUGUGAGAGCAUGGCCCGUCUCACUGGGACUGAGACACUGCCCAGACACCUACGGGUGGCUGCAGUCGAGAAUCUUCCGCAAUGGACGAAAGUCUGACGGAGCGACGCCGCGUGCGGGAUGAAGGCCUUCGGGUUGUAAACCGCUGUCAUAGGGGAGGAAAUUUUGACCGAUCCUAAGAGGAAGCACAGGCUAAGUUCGUG
RNAcentral lists this ribosomal RNA (462 nucleotides) under uncultured bacterium. RNAcentral describes it as "bacterial SSU rRNA". It matches the Rfam family "Bacterial small subunit ribosomal RNA", at positions 29 to 507 of the family's 1533-position model. The record is from RNAcentral.